UACGUAGGGGGCAAGCGUUGUCCGGAAUCAUUGGGCGUAAAGCGCGCGUAGGCGGCCCUGUAAGUCCGUUGUGAAAGUCGAAGGCUCAACCUUCGAAAGCCGAUGGAUACUGCAGGGCUAGAGUCCGGAAGAGGCGAGUGGAAUUCCCGGUGUAGCGGUGAAAUGCGCAGAUAUCAGGAAGAACACCCGUGGCGAAGGCGGCUCUCUGGGACGGUACUGACGGCUGAGACGCGAAAAGCGUGGGGGAGCGAACAGG
This 256-nucleotide ribosomal RNA is filed under the name uncultured bacterium. RNAcentral describes it as "partial 16S ribosomal RNA". It matches the Rfam family "Bacterial small subunit ribosomal RNA", at positions 524 to 776 of the family's 1533-position model. The record is from RNAcentral.